RNAcentral lists this ribosomal RNA (337 nucleotides) under Salmonella enterica subsp. enterica serovar Typhimurium. RNAcentral describes it as "partial 23S ribosomal RNA". It matches the Rfam family "Bacterial large subunit ribosomal RNA", at positions 137 to 512 of the family's 2925-position model. Lineage: Bacteria; Pseudomonadati; Pseudomonadota; Gammaproteobacteria; Enterobacterales; Enterobacteriaceae. The record is from RNAcentral.
GAUUCGUCACACUAUCAUUAACUGAAUCCAUAGGUUAAUGAGGCGAACCGGGGGAACUGAAACAUCUAAGUACCCCGAGGAAAAGAAAUCAACCGAGAUUCCCCCAGUAGCGGCGAGCGAACGGGGAGGAGCCCAGAGCCUGAAUCAGCAUGUGUGUUAGUGGAAGCGUCUGGAAAGGCGCGCGAUACAGGGUGACAGCCCCGUACACAAAAGCGCAUGUGCUGUGAGCUCGAUGAGUAGGGCGGGACACGUGGUAUCCUGUCUGAAUAUGGGGGGACCAUCCUCCAAGGCUAAAUACUCCUGACUGACCGAUAGUGAACCAGUACCGUGAGGGAAA